GCGCCGCUCUACUCCGGGGCUCCGCCGUGAGGACCCCUGCCCGUCUGGGCAACGUGCCGGCCGCCAGCCAAAGCCCUCCCCCUUUCCUUCUCCAGGGCAACGCGCUCAGUACAAUGCUGCUGCUGAAGACCCCCUUGGAGGGAGACAGAUCUUCUGUCCCAUCAUGGCCGGUGUGGGACAUUGUCAGUGGGGGUCCACUGCACCUGCAUGUUCUUGAAAGCCAGCACAGGCAGUUUGAGGAAGAGGCCCAGGAAGCCCUUGGCUCCAGGUUUCCAGCUGUGACCAUGGCAGUUUCAGCAAGAGUUGGCUACCGUAGGUAGGGGGUCUUCACUCGAAGGAGUGUGACCAGUGAUGACUCUGGAAUGCAAUCGCUGGGAUUGGAGGGAUCCAAGUUCCAGGAUCAUCAGGUGGCCUUGGGUCCGUGUAACAGUGAAUGCCCCGUGGCUUGCUGGGAGCUGAUGGGGACAGGAAGACUUCCAUAAAGAGCAAAGAACAGGGGUGGCUAUCAGACUGGGUCCAAAACAAUUGUGCAGUGGGUGGCAUUGGAAGAUGUGUGUGUAGAAGUGAGUGAAAGUAACCCGUUGCAGGCCAGAGCCAGGUGGUUUGACUGGCCCUGCUGGGAGAGGGAGCCAGAAACAGCCUCUGGCAGUGGGUUAAGGUGGGCUCUGGGCAUUGGACCUGGAACAAGGGCAUGAUGGUGAUGUGGGAGGUGGGGAGGGGACUGAAAUAAGAGUUGCCUGUGGUUCAGGAAGAGAAACUCCCAGGGUCUAAGUAGGCCUUGGUGAGCCAACAGCUGGUCCAGGAAUGCUGGGGAAGGCAAUAGCUUACUCAGUCACCCAAACCAAGAGUGGGCUAUAGUAAGUGGGAAGUCUAACUUGAGCCAAUUUUCUCCCCAAAACAAGCCUCCCGCUACCCUGGGAAGCAGUGGGUGACUGGGGCCAUUAGAGCCAACAGUGAGUUUCAAAUGAGGAAGGGGAGAGAGGGCAGGGGGUGGAGAUUUUUCCAAGGGAAUUAGGUAGACCCAUCCUUUUUUCAGGAAAGCAACCCCAGGCCCGGCAGGAGGUGGUUCUCCCUGAAGCCUGCAGUGCCACGUGUCCUCAAAGCAUGCGGGAGGUUGUGCAGGGUGAUGACCUCGGCUUGGCUGUGGCCCCUGCUAUGGUGAGCCAAGUUUCUAGGGAUGGGUGGGAAGAAAGGGAGAGAAAGGACUAGGGGCUGUCCCCACUCCUGCUCUGCCCAGAUGCCCCUGACUCAUUUCCACGGGCAAAAUGAGGGAAUUCAUUCCUGUUUCUCCUUGCAGCCAAGUCAAUUUUUAGUAUUUAUAUUUGGAUGAGCGUAUAGGGUGGUGGUCUCUUUCUUCCCCCCCGCCCCUGCCCCCACACACUUUGCCCAUAUUUUAAGGAAUGAAACAGUCCCU
Long non-coding RNA from Ornithorhynchus anatinus (platypus), 1414 nucleotides. RefSeq lists it as uncharacterized. The transcript is spliced from 3 exons. The record is from RefSeq and is a predicted model, not a curated record. NCBI's taxonomy places the organism in Eukaryota, Metazoa, Chordata, Mammalia, Monotremata, Ornithorhynchidae.